Molecule: unclassified non-coding RNA, 748 nt
Filed under: Hevea brasiliensis (rubber tree)
Lineage: Eukaryota; Viridiplantae; Streptophyta; Magnoliopsida; Malpighiales; Euphorbiaceae
Source: RNAcentral
UAUUAGUUAUGUUUACAGAAAUUAAAUUCUUUCGUCACUUCUCUUCCAACUUCCAGAGCACAGUCCAACCCAUUUUAUCAUCAGCAAGGCCCAUCUGUAUAUUAGAAAGGGCAGAGGAGAGCUGCCUGGACACAGUACCAAGUCCGCCUUCCUUGUAGGACAACCUUUUACCCUGGUAAGUAAUGCUACCCACAGGCAAUAAACCAACAGCAUUUCCCGUACAAAAAACUUCAUCAGCACUAAAUAAUUCCUCAACUGAAACAGGUCUCUCCUCAACCUGAAACUUUUGUCUGCGAGCAAUAUCAAUAACACUUUCUCGUGUAAUGCCUGGCAGAAUUGUCCCUCUCAAUGCUGGAGUACAUAUUGUUUUAUCCUUCACUACAAAAAUGUUAGCAGCAGAAAUUUCUUCAAGAUAUUUGUUGUGAACAGCAUCAAGGUACAAAGCAUCAUGAAAACCACUUGCUUUAGCUGCAACUUGUCCCUUCAUAACCAUGGCAUAAUUUCCUAUAGCAUUUAUGCUUCCAACUCCACCAGAAACUGCACGAUGAAUAUCAUUCUCAAUGACCAGAUUAAUUGGUUCUGCACCAUGCUCAAAAUAAUUCCUCACUGGAGUAACAUAAAUCAAAAAGAUAAAUUCAGGAGAGGGCGUAAGACUAAGAACAGCUCCGCUGCCUAUAAGUAGGGGUCGGAUGUAUAAAAAGCCUUUACUUGGAGGGGGAACCCAUCGUCUAUUUGCUGAAACAGUAGC